GUAGGAACUUGGAGCCUAAAUAAUAUUUGUCUACUUACUUCUUGAUAGGUCACAUACUUUUUUAAGUCAACUGUAACAGGACUACAUAUUGUUCCUCUAAGACUCCAAAAGUUCUUUAGACACUGUUCAGUGUGAGCCAUUUUUCUCAGGAAGAAGUAUUCCUAAUCCAAAUAAGAUAGAAAGAUAACUAUGCUGUAGUUACAAACAGCUGCAAAUCUCAGUGGUCUGACACAAACAAGGUUUUGACUCUCAUUUAUACAGUAUGCUUCUUUGAUCACUGCCACAGGAGGAAGGGGAUGUGGUGAAUUACCUAUUGGUAAUGGGCUCUUACUGAGUAUAUUCCAUUGCCAAAGCAAGUCACAUAGGCAUACCUAAUUGGAAAGUGGGUGGGGAAGGGCAGUCCUUUCAGCUGAAGGCCAUCCUUCCACCUGCAUGGCAGGACAGGAGAACUGUACCAAUUAUGAGCAUCGCUAUAUGCUAUCUUCAAACUGAGAAAAAUACAGAGACAGAAAGAAAUUAUCUUAGUAAUCAAUUAUUCUGUUUCAAAACUUCCUAGAACGUAUAUUUCAUUUAAAAUAUUGGACUCUCAGACUCAACAUGUCUAAAGGUACACAACAAACUGCCUGUGUGUGGAGUGGUUAUUGAGCACAUUCUCGAGCCAACAUGUUGGUCUUUCACUUACUAGAUGGAUGACCUUAGGUAUUUUGAUUAACAUCUCUGUGCCUCAGUUUCCUCAUCACUCAAAUAGUCUGAAUAAUAGUAACUAGUUUAUAAGAUCAUUGUGAGAAUUCAAGGAGGGCUGAGUGAGUCCAGGUCCUGGCACAGAGUGGGGUCUCAGUACAGGUUAAUUAUUAUUUUUGCAUUGUUUUAUUGUCCAUUUUUGCAUCCCCUCAAUCCACCUACUUAGAAUCUUGAUGUCAUUUUCAUCUCUUAGAAGCUUGUCCUUUACCCCCUGUGGUUAUCAACACCCCUAAGUUAUACCUUUAAUGUAGGCAAACUAGUCACCUAUGAGUUAAGAACAGAUUUUUGUAUUUUUAAAGGAUUGUAAAAAAAACAACAACAAAAAUAAUCGUGACAUAAACCCCAAAAUAUUCACUAUAUGUCUCUGUAUACAAAAAGUUUGCCAACCUUUACUCUAAAGUAUCCUUGAUAGCCUUUGCCUCUCAUGACUAACAACUACCUUUAUUCCAUUGCCGUCUUACUCUUCUGGCCUUGGUUCACUUCCCAAUUGCAUACUUAACCCAGCUACUAUACCUUAGAUUUCUGCCUGGAGGACAAGUGGCACAUUUUUGACUUAAUUUUAUCCCUCAGUUAAUUUAGCGGUAAUAAAUAUUUCCUGAAUUUCUUCUGAUAGUCAGAUUGAGUUAGUUGAU
RNAcentral lists this long non-coding RNA (1373 nucleotides) under Sus scrofa (pig). Its description in RNAcentral is "lncRNA (ENSSSCG00025002686.1)". Lineage: Eukaryota; Metazoa; Chordata; Mammalia; Artiodactyla; Suidae. The record is from RNAcentral.